CCUACGGGGGGCUGCAGUAACGAAUCUUCCGCAAUGCACGCAAGUGUGACGGAGCGACGCCGCGUGCGGGACGAAGCCCCUCGGGGUGUAAACCGCUGUCAGGGGUAAUCAAGUCCUGAGAUGCCCCAGAGGAAGGCACGGCUAACUCUGUGCCAGCAGCCGCGGUAAGACAGAGGUGCCGAGCGUUAGGCGGAAUCACUGGGCUUAAAGCGUGUGUAGGCGGGCCGCUAAGUGUCUUGUGAAAUCCCCCGGCUCAACCGGGGAACGGCUGGACAUACUGGCGGCCUUGAGAGGCCUAGGGGCGAGCGGAACAGGCGGUGGAGCGGUGAAAUGCGUAGAUAUCGCCUGGAACGCCGACGGUGAAAACAGCUCGCUGGGGGCCUUCUGACGCUGAGACACGAAAGCCAGGGGAGCGAACGGGAUUAGAUACCCUUGUAGUC
RNAcentral lists this ribosomal RNA (440 nucleotides) under uncultured bacterium. RNAcentral's name for it is "bacterial SSU rRNA". It matches the Rfam family "Bacterial small subunit ribosomal RNA", at positions 338 to 795 of the family's 1533-position model. The record is from RNAcentral.